CCUACGGGCGGCAGCAGUGGGGAAUAUUGCACAAUGGGGGAAACCCUGAUGCAGCGACGCCGCGUGAGUGAAGACGUAUUUCGGUAUGUAAAGCCCUAUCAGCAGGGAAGAAAAUGACGGUACCUGAUUAAGAAGCCCCGGCUAACUACGUGCCAGCAGCCGCGGGAAUACGUAGGGGGCAAGCGUUAUCCGGAUUUACUGGGUGUAAAGGGAGCGUAGACGGCAGCGAAAGUCUGGAGUGAAAUGCCGGGGCUUAACCCCGGAACUGCUUUGGAAACUGUGCAGCUAGAGUGCAGGAGAGGUAAGUGGAAUUCCUAGUGUAGCGGUGAAAUGCGUAGAUAUUAGGAGGAACACCAGUGGCGAAGGCGGCUUACUGGACUGUAACUGACGUUGAGGCUCGAAAGCGUGGGGAGCAAACAGGAUUAGAUACCCCAGUAGUC
This 440-nucleotide ribosomal RNA is filed under the name uncultured bacterium. RNAcentral describes it as "partial 16S ribosomal RNA". It matches the Rfam family "Bacterial small subunit ribosomal RNA", at positions 338 to 795 of the family's 1533-position model. The record is from RNAcentral.